UCUUCGGGAUAGGUAGUAGUUAAGGUGAUGGCUUAACUAGCCAAAAACUCUCGUAGUCGAAGCUGAAAGGUUGAUCGACCACAUUGGGUCUGAAAAAACCCCAAUGCAAGUUAGUACAGCAGUGAGGAAUCUUGGUCAAUGGCCUAACGGCUGAACUGGCAACUUGGAGAAGUGGCAAGUCUUAUUUUGAUUAUAUUACAAUAUAUAAUCUAUAAGAUUGUAUUAAAAUUGAAUAAAGCUUUGUUUAUAUAUUGAUAAUGACAGUAUAUAUAUCGUGUCUUGACUAAUUACGUGCCAGCAGUCGCGGUAAUACGUAAGAGACUAGUGUUAUUCAUCUUGAUUAGGUUUAAAGGGUACCUAGACGGUCAAUAUAUCUUCUAAAAUGUUAGUACUUGACUAGAGUUUGAUAUAAGAGGGCAGUACUUGAGGAGGAGAGAUGAAAUUCUAUUAUACCAAAGGGACUCGGUAAAGGCGAAGGCAGCCCUCUAUGUAAAAACUGACGUUGAAGGACGAAGGCACAGAGCACAAACAGGAUUAGAUACCCAAGUAGUCUUUGCAGUAAAUGAUGAAUGCCAUAGGUUUAGAUUAA
This 589-nucleotide ribosomal RNA is filed under the name Aschersonia andropogonis. RNAcentral describes it as "SSU rRNA". It matches the Rfam family "Bacterial small subunit ribosomal RNA", at positions 233 to 832 of the family's 1533-position model. The record is from RNAcentral. Lineage: Eukaryota; Fungi; Ascomycota; Sordariomycetes; Hypocreales; Clavicipitaceae.